This 251-nucleotide ribosomal RNA is filed under the name uncultured bacterium. RNAcentral describes it as "partial 16S ribosomal RNA". It matches the Rfam family "Bacterial small subunit ribosomal RNA", at positions 524 to 776 of the family's 1533-position model. The record is from RNAcentral.
UACAGAGGGGGCUAGCGUUAUCCAACGUUACUGGGCGUAAAGGGCACGUAGACAACUUAUGUCGGUUUGAUUUGAAAGGUCACUUUAAUGUGAAAGCGAAUUAAACAGCGGUAUGGUUAGAGUUUAUGGGAGGAUGAAGGAAUUUCCAGUGUAGAGGUACAAUUCGUUGAUAUUGGAAGGAAAGUUCAAGGUGAAAACAUUUAUCUACUGUAGACUGACGUUGAGGUGCGAAGGUAUGGGGAUCAAACGGG